RNAcentral lists this ribosomal RNA (196 nucleotides) under uncultured bacterium. RNAcentral describes it as "partial 16S ribosomal RNA". It matches the Rfam family "Bacterial small subunit ribosomal RNA", at positions 1305 to 1500 of the family's 1533-position model. The record is from RNAcentral.
CUGCAACUCGACUACAUGAAGCUGGAAUCGCUAGUAAUCGCAGAUCAGAAUGCUGCGGUGAAUACGUUCCCGGGUCUUGUACACACCGCCCGUCACACCAUGGGAGUCGGAAAUGCCCUAAGCCGGUGACCCAACCAAAAGGAGGGAGCCGUCGAAGGCAGGUCUGAUAACUGGGGUGAAGUCGUAACAAGGUAAC